UGAAGCUGAGGCUCCAAUACUUUGGCCACCUCAUGAGAAGAGAAGACUCCCUGGAAAAGACCCUGAUGUUGGGAAAGAUGGAGGGCACAAGGAGAGGGGGACGACAGAGGACGAGAUGGUUGGACAGUGUUCUCGAAGCUACCAGCAUGAGUUUGGCCAAACUGCGGGAGGCAGUGGAAGACAGGAGUGCCUGGCGUGCUCUGGUCCAUGGGGUCACAAAGAGUCGGACACGACUAAAUGACUAAACAACAACAACAACAAGGAAAAGCCGGGCUAGUUUAUUUUCCCUGGCAUGCAAUGUCAGGGGGAGGAGAAGCGUGUUACUCCACCUGACUGGGAUUUUGCUUCCCUGCAGCCAUGCUACUUCACCCUUUUUUAAAAAAAAAAAAGUUCAAAAAGGAAUUUAAUCUCAGAAAUAAAUCGAACAGCUGUACUUUCCUGUCACAAUGAAUCAGUGCCUUGCCCAGCGUGCAAACCAUGCAGCUUCCUUUUGCGCAAUGCUGCGAGAAACAGCAGCAACUUUCCAUGAUCCAGUUAGUUUGGCUAGUUGCCCAUAUUAGGAGGGGCUGGAGACUGGCAGCGUGAGAAGAGCACUGGGGCAUCAGGUCAAAUGCUCAUCUAUUCAUCGCCGCCAACACCACCAUCCUCCUCCUCCUCCUCACAGUGGCCAACUCAAUCCCUAUGGGAAGAGCAGAGACAGGAAAAGGCCCUCUGCUGUUGUUGGACCCGUAUGCCUUCUUCCAGCAACUCCUGCAGCCCAGCUGGUGCCCAAUGUGUUGGUCUGCUUUCCUCUGGAACGCAUCAGCGAGGCCUGGGUGGGGGGAGGUCUUGUUGUCUGGGAGGCGCAGACCUCCAUACUGUGAUAGGAAUUUUGAGGUCUUAGAUAUAUGUUAAAUGUUCACAAGUGUACCAACCAAGCACAUACAUAGAUCAGCACAGGAAGACCGACCUGGAACCAUUUUGAUUCCCAAACUGUCCCAAACUGACCAAAUGUUUUCUCUGCAAGGUCAAAGGAAAAUGAAAAAGCCUCCCCAUUGUCUUUUCCUUCACAAAUCCUGUCUUAAGGGUAUGUCUGUGUUUGAAUAGGGUGUGAGCCCAGGAACUAAAUAUUUAUCAUUACAAAAGACUGGCCAGGCUACCCAGGCAAUCCAAUCAAGUAACCUGCCAGACAACAACAUUCAAAUUUCUGUUUUAAGACCGCCUUUUCUGUGAUGUAGGUAUGAUGUAUCUGAGGGGUGGUCUUAGGUUACACCCCUUCUGUGAUGUAUGUAUGAUGUUUCUGGGGGUGGUCUUGAUCUACAGGGUGGGAAUUUCAAAAGUCUUUAUAAGGCCUUGCGCGCCAUUUUUCGGGUGAGGGGAGCACCCUGUUGCAACAGUUCAAGAAAGAUCAAGCUUACUAGCUGCUUUGCUUCUCAGUA
Long non-coding RNA from Podarcis raffonei (Aeolian wall lizard), 1418 nucleotides. RefSeq lists it as uncharacterized. The record is from RefSeq and is a predicted model, not a curated record. The transcript has 2 exons. NCBI's taxonomy places the organism in Eukaryota, Metazoa, Chordata, Lepidosauria, Squamata, Lacertidae.